Molecule: ribosomal RNA, 774 nt
Filed under: uncultured Neocallimastigales
Lineage: Eukaryota; Fungi; Neocallimastigomycota; Neocallimastigomycetes; Neocallimastigales
Description: partial large subunit ribosomal RNA
Rfam family: Eukaryotic large subunit ribosomal RNA
Source: RNAcentral
UCAGACGAUGCGUCAUGCAUAUCAAUAAGCGGAGGAAAAGAAACUAACAAGGAUUCCCCUAGUAACGGCGAGUGAAGCGGGAAGAGCUCAAAUUUGAAAUCUUAAAGGGUUUCCCUUUACGAAUUGUAGUCUAAAGAAGUGUUUUCUGUUGAGGUUUUGGUAAAAAUUCUUUGGAAUAGGACAUCAUAGAGGGUGAGAAUCCCGUAUUUGACCUCUACUUUCAACUUUGUGAUACACUUUCAAAGAGUCGGAUUGUUUGGGAAUGCAGUCCAAAAUGGGUGGUAAAUUUCAUCUAAAGCUAAAUAUUGGCGAGAGACCGAUAGCGAACAAGUACCGUGAGGGAAAGAUGAAAAGAACUUUGAAAAGAGAGUUAAACAGUACGUGAAAUUGUCAAAAGGGAAGCGUUUGACACCAGUGUUGUUUUUCUGAAAAUCAAUUAAAGAACUGUUUAUGCUAAGCUGUUUAGACUUUAUCAGCUAUCUGUUUAGUUUUGAGCUUUUCUUUAAUGCACUUUUUAGUUAACAAGUCAACAUCAAUUUCUUUUGCUGUAAAAAAGCUUGAGGAAGGUGGCUUGAGAUUCGUCUUAAGUGUUUAUAGCCUCUUGCCUAUGCAGUCGGAGAGAUUGAGGUCUGCAGCGUAGAUCCUUCGGGGCUAAAUGCAUUUGUGCUAAGUUAUAGCAUUUCAUAGACAACUUGUUGACUAUGAUUUGUCUUGUAGCUUACUCGCUUAUGUUAUUUUACCUACGCUUAGGAUGUUGAAUCUGUGCGAGACUAC